CAGACUAAAUUUAUUUUCAUUUUUUUUAUUUAAACCUAUUAGCCACGUUUGUAAACUAUCUGUCAUCGGUAAUACGUCAUCUUCAGUUCGACUAUUACAGGUGAUGGUUCAAUAUCCGAACUGAUGAUCGUGGUCCAAGAAUGGUUCUUCUUCAUCAGUGAGUCUACGGAUGUUUAUCAAACGUUUCCUCGUCUUCUUUGAUUGGCACCAUAAAUCAUAAAUCCACACUGCUUUCAACAAGACCACAAAACCCCCUUUGCUUAUAAAAUUUAAUUGUCUUAAGAAUCACAAUCAAUUUAUGAGAACCGUUAAUGGCAAUAGAGAUUAACAUAAUAAAUUAGCGAUUUCAAGGUCAAGUAACACAUCGCCAAGGGUUUAUGGACUUUAUCAUUCCGUCAAGAGUCAGCCUCCAGUCACAAAUCGAAUACACCAUGAGACGGAUGCGACCAAAAAUGAAGUUCAUAAAACCCGAUCAGGGCAUGCUGACAUAGUUCCUAUGAGCUCUACUACAUUUGGGAAUAGAAAGAAAGGCGAUUGUGGAAUGUCCUAGUGAGAGACCCAGGUAAGCUGAAAAAGAAAGUGGAAUGGAUUCAACAAAGUCCUUGAAGAACAUAUACUUAAAGUCUGGUCAAAGUGGAUCCUUGAAAUCUA
Molecule: long non-coding RNA, 651 nt
Organism: Agrilus planipennis (emerald ash borer)
Lineage: Eukaryota; Metazoa; Arthropoda; Insecta; Coleoptera; Buprestidae
Exons: 3
Source: RefSeq, a predicted model, not a curated record